Molecule: ribosomal RNA, 292 nt
Filed under: uncultured bacterium
Lineage: Bacteria
Description: partial 16S ribosomal RNA
Rfam family: Bacterial small subunit ribosomal RNA
Source: RNAcentral
GUGCCAGCCGCCGCGGUAAUACGGAGGGUGCAAGCGUUGUCCGGAAUCACCGGGCGUAAAGGGUGCGCAGGCGGGGUAGCAAGUCGGAUGUGAAAGCCCGUGGCUCAACCACGGAAGCGCCUUCGAUACUGCUGCUCUUGAGUCCCGGAGAGGCUGUCGGAAUUCGUGGUGUAGCGGUGAAAUGCGUAGAUAUCACGAGGAACACCAGAGGCGAAAGCGGACAGCUGGACGAGUACUGACGCUCAGGCACGAAAGCGGGGGGAGCAAACAGGAUUAGAUACCCGAAUAGUCC